Long non-coding RNA from Cydia fagiglandana, 291 nucleotides. RefSeq lists it as uncharacterized. NCBI's taxonomy places the organism in Eukaryota, Metazoa, Arthropoda, Insecta, Lepidoptera, Tortricidae. The transcript is spliced from 3 exons. The record is from RefSeq and is a predicted model, not a curated record.
GAGCGCCUGCGAGCCGGGCGGACGUGCGCGAGUGCCUGUGACGUCAUCCCCCACUGACAUGGAUCUCGCUGAAACCCUGGGCGUGUGGAGAUGAGCAGUGCCCCCGGCCCAACCCUUCCCCCGCCCCGCACCCCGCCCCGCCCGCGAGAUGCUCUCUCUGCUUUCUCUACUGCUUCUAACAGCCCCUUCUGCCCGCGCGUCAUCCAGCUCGGAACGCGCGCCUUCCCCCCGCGCGCCUCCCCCGCUCGACGAAGAAUUACUACGCGAUGCGCCCCUCUACCCACCGCUACA